Molecule: unclassified non-coding RNA, 677 nt
Filed under: Hevea brasiliensis (rubber tree)
Lineage: Eukaryota; Viridiplantae; Streptophyta; Magnoliopsida; Malpighiales; Euphorbiaceae
Source: RNAcentral
GUUUGUUUGGCAUUGCUUUUGGAGCUGCCGUUGUGAAAAGCUGCUCCUUAAAUAUACUAGUGGGUAUUAAAAAUUGUUUUAAAGUUUAAAUUUGAUAUGUUUUAGUCUGUGAAAACUCCAAAACAACAAUACUUUUUUCAACAUCAUCUAAAAUGAUGUUUUCCAAAAUAGCUUUUUUGAGUCUCCCAACCGCAAUCCCAAAUGGAGCUUUGUGUUUGAUGUUUUGGAGACAUCAUCUAGAUGUGUCUCCAUAAGUAGAAUGUGGCUAAUUGUAGAGUAUAUAUCUUGAUUAUUUUGGAUUUGAUUAGAGAACAUGUUUGGUAAAUUUUUUAAUAUUGGAGAGCUCAUCUAUAAUUCCAGAAGUGUGUAUGUUGUCUUCCUCUCUCAUUCCCCAUUAGUAAUGAAUGAAUUUGUUGCCUGCCUAGCUGUACCACAGCAGCACCUAUAUAGAGCACCAGCAUUUAUUUUAGCUGAGGCUAACCCAGUGAUUGUACUGGAAAUAAAAACAUAAUGACAAGCAGAUUCACAAACUUUAAGAAGAAUCAUGCACAUCUCUGAAUGGAAGAUGGAUCUUAAAAAAAGGGAAAAGUAUGGAGCGAUGUUAAUAUGUUAAUCCUUUUAUUUUCUUUGCUAAUUUCAGAUAUAAUGUCUACAGGUUACCCUUUCUGGGUUCAGGU